Molecule: transfer RNA, 74 nt
Filed under: Acidobacteriota bacterium
Lineage: Bacteria; Pseudomonadati; Acidobacteriota
Description: Acidobacteria bacterium (rhizosphere metagenome) tRNA-Gly
Rfam family: tRNA
About the family: Transfer RNA (tRNA) molecules are approximately 80 nucleotides in length.
Source: RNAcentral
GUGGACGUAGCUUAGCCUGGCGAAAGCACCGGCCCGCCACGCCGGGGACGUGGGUUCAAAUCCCGCCGUUCACU